UACAGAGGGGGCUAGCGUUGCUCGGAAUCACUGGGCGUAAAGCGCACGUAGGCGGAUUGCUAAGUCAGGGGUGAAAUCCUGGAGCUCAACUCCAGAACUGCCUUUGAUACUGGCGACCUUGAGUCCGGGAGAGGUGAGUGGAACUGCGAGUGUAGAGGUGAAAUUCGUAGAUAUUCGCAAGAACACCAGUGGCGAAGGCGGCUCACUGGCCCGGUACUGACGCUGAGGUGCGAAAGCGUGGGGAGCAAACAGG
RNAcentral lists this ribosomal RNA (253 nucleotides) under uncultured bacterium. RNAcentral's name for it is "partial 16S ribosomal RNA". It matches the Rfam family "Bacterial small subunit ribosomal RNA", at positions 524 to 776 of the family's 1533-position model. The record is from RNAcentral.